UACAGAGGGUGCGAGCGUUGUCCGGAAUCACUGGGCGUAAAGGGCGCGUAGGCGGUGCGGUAAGUCACCUGUGAAAACUCUGGGCUCAACUCAGAGCCUGCAGGCGAAACUGCCGUGCUUGAGUGUGGGAGAGGUGCGUGGAAUUCCCGGUGUAGCGGUGAAAUGCGUAGAUAUUGGGAGGAACACCUGUGGCGAAAGCGGCGCACUGGACCACAACUGACGCUGAGGCGCGAAAGCUAGGGGAGCAAACAGG
RNAcentral lists this ribosomal RNA (253 nucleotides) under uncultured bacterium. RNAcentral's name for it is "partial 16S ribosomal RNA". It matches the Rfam family "Bacterial small subunit ribosomal RNA", at positions 524 to 776 of the family's 1533-position model. The record is from RNAcentral.